Mytilus californianus (California mussel) is the source of this 2217-nucleotide long non-coding RNA. RefSeq lists it as uncharacterized. The transcript is spliced from 4 exons. The record is from RefSeq and is a predicted model, not a curated record. Lineage: Eukaryota; Metazoa; Mollusca; Bivalvia; Mytilida; Mytilidae.
UGGAAUGGUUUGUGACGCAAUUGUUAAAAACUUUACAUACGUUGUCAACCAGAAUGUAGGUAAUCCAAGUGGUAUUGAGGACGGCCUACAUGCAUCAAUAAAACACAUAUUUGGCGAACAUGAUAACUGCAAUGAAACUUGGUGUGGAUACCUUAAAGACAAGGAUUCCUAUAUCCAUUCAAAUCUUCCUUGUGGAAAAGACCUAUGUUCGUCUGAACACAGAUCAGAUCUUGAGAAACUGUUUAUUCAAAAAAUGGUUCCACAGUCUAAAAAGCUAUCUAACUUGGGCUCAUCACAGGCAAAUGAAAGCUUUAAUAACUUAAUUGCUCUCAAAGCUCUAAAAACCAAACAUUUCUCCACAUCAGCAUCUUUAAAUUACAGAGUCAGCUCAGCCGUACUCCAAAAGAAUGAGGGUUAUAAUUAUGUUGCUGAGUUAAACACAUCUAUAGGCCUGUCACCUGGAAAUGAGACCCUAAGCAGGGGUAAUAAAUUAAACAAGAAGAGAGAGGGCAACACAAACAGAUUAAAAAGCAAACAGGGAAAAAAACAACAUAAAGUUCUCAAAAAGAAACGCCUACAAAAAACAACAGUGGCUGAAGUCAAAGAAGGGAGAACAUACCACAGUUCAAUCGGGUUAGAAGAUUUUGCAACAAUAGACAUAGAAGAAAUACCUGCAGUUCCUGAAGCUGAAACCUUUACAACAUAGAUGAUGCACCAAUAGUUUGUUUUGAUUUAAAGACAAAUGGUUUAAGUAUAUAUUCUGAUAUAACCCAGAUAGCUGCAUGCACCAAAGACAGUUCCUUCAGUCGAUAUAUAUUUCCAGACCAACAAAUUUCAAGAGAAGCAUCAGAAAUAACAAAAAUCACUAUUGUAGGACAAAAAAUGUAUUACAAUGGUAAUGCUGUUGUUUAUAAGCAUAAACAUGAAAGAAUGACUGAUUUUUAACUUAUUUGUAUUUGUCAAGUUUCACAGAUAAACCUGUAUUGGUAGGACAUAAUAUAAAACGAUUUGACUGCCAUGUUUUAUUUCAUACUUUAAAAUCUAUGAAUAUGUACAGUGAACUAUGUGCAAGAACUGUUGCAUUUUUAGACUCUUUGAAUUUGUUUAAACUCGUUUCACCUGGCUUGUCAUCUUAUAGCCAGUCUUUUCUCGUUGAUAAACUAUUAGUCAACAGUAUGAAUCUCAUAAUGCUGUGUAUGACACAAAAUUACUUUUUAAUUUAGUCACUGAGAAAGGUAAUGUUUCUCAAUUUAUUAGUGAACUUGCUUUUUCACCUAGCUACCCUCAGUUAUACCAGAUGCAAUUGGCCAACUUGAAAACUUUUGAAGAGCUAGUUCAAUCAAAAUGUCUGUCAAAAGCUAUGGCACUAAAGACCAAAAGGUCUAACCUAAGGUUUCAACAUUUCCAAUUAGCAGUACAACGAAAUGACAUGGCAGGACUCAAAGCCUUAAUGACAGAAAAGUCUUCAACUGGGGUAGUUAGAGUGACAUCAAACAAAAUAAUUAUACAAAGAGUAUAUGAGUAUCUAAUUAGUCACAAGUAAAGGAAAAAUAUGUUUGUUAAGGUAGUCAGUCAGUGGUAAUACUUUAAGAGCAUAUGAUACAGUUACAUGGGAGGUCAUGAAGUUUUAACGUAAAAUAUUAUUCCUCCUGUAUGAUAAGAAUUAGAAAAUUGAUCGUUGUUAUGCAGAACUUUACCUUAACUAACCUUUUGUUGAAAUUCAUGAUCAGAGAUAAACAUUAAUGUGUACUGUAAAUUAGUGUAAAUGGUAGUGUGAGCCCUGCUGUAAUAUUUGUAAAUGUAUUGUAGAAAUAUCUUCAUGAUAUAAACCAAAUAGUUUUGAUAGUUAUACAACUUUAUAUGAACCUUGAAUUUUUUUAGAUAUCAAUUUUUUUAAGUUUGUGUAAUAAUUUAUUGUUGAUUGGAAAACCAUUUCUUACUGGAGGAGAUGCAUUUGAGUUUUUAAUGCAUACAUAAUCCAGUGAAGUAAUCUAUCCAGCUAUAACCCAAAUUUUGAUCAUAAAGAUAGACUGUAUGAACAUAGUAUGAUAAAUUUUGACUGUACAGUUUCUUGAAAAAAAGUUCAACUUGAGAUAAGAGUUUCAAAAUAUGUUGAGUUAACAGUUCUAUAAAUCUUAGUCUUUUCUGUGUUUUUUUAUAUAUAUUUUGGUGGAUUUUUUUUAUUGCUUGUACAGGCAAUUAGAACAAGUAUAUAGA